This 427-nucleotide ribosomal RNA is filed under the name uncultured bacterium. Its description in RNAcentral is "partial 16S ribosomal RNA". It matches the Rfam family "Bacterial small subunit ribosomal RNA", at positions 354 to 796 of the family's 1533-position model. The record is from RNAcentral.
GUGGGGAAUAUUGGGCAAUGGGGGAAACCCUGACCCAGCGACGCCGCGUGAGGGAAGAAGGCCUUAGGGUCGUAAACCUCUGUUGUGUGGGAAGAAGAGCGUGACGGUACCACACGAGGAAGUCCGGGCUAACUACGUGCCAGCAGCCGCGGUAAUACGUAGGGGACGAGCGUUGUCCGGAUUUACUGGGCGUAAAGGGCGCGUAGGCGGUCAUUUAAGUCAGCUGUGAAAUGGUUUGGCUUAACCGGAUCAUGCGGUUGAAACUGGAUGACUGGAGUGCUGGAGAGGCAAGUGGAAUUCCCAGUGUAGCGGUGAAAUGCGUAGAUAUUGGGAAGAACACCGGUGGCGAAGGCGACUUGCUGGCCAGCAACUGACGCUGAGGCGCGAAAGCCAGGGGAGCAAACGGGAUUAGAAACCCGGGUAGUCC